Molecule: ribosomal RNA, 406 nt
Filed under: uncultured bacterium
Lineage: Bacteria
Description: partial 16S ribosomal RNA
Rfam family: Bacterial small subunit ribosomal RNA
Source: RNAcentral
AUUGAACGCUGGCGGCAUGCCUAACACAUGCAAGUCGAGCGAGCGGCGGACGGGUGAGUAAUGUGUGGGAAACUGCCUGAUGGAGGGGGAUAACUACUGGAAACGGUAGCUAAUACCGCAUAUUGUCUGAUGGGCCCAGAUGGGAUUAGCUAGUAGGUGGGGUAACGGCUCACCUAGGCGACGAUCCCUAGCUGGUCUGAGAGGCUGACCAGCCACACGGGAACUGAGACACGGUCCGGACUCCUACGGGAGGCAGCAGUGGGGAAUAUUGCGCAAUGGGGGCAACCCUGACGCAGCCAUGCCGCGUGAAUGAAGAAGGCCUUCGGGUUGUAAAGUCCUUUCGGUGACGAGGCGUUAAUCACAGAAGAAGCACCGGCUAACUCCGUGCCAGCAGCCGCGGUAAUAC